GCCGGGGAGUGUCGCGUCUCCCUGUCACCCAAGCGGGGGCUGAUAGUUGGAAGUUUCGCAUGAUACCGUCGGUCCAGUUCUCCUGCGUCGAUGGCGUGUCCGCUCUGAGCCUACAGUCGACAACGGCGUCUCCCUGAUGGGGGAUGGUCGUGGUUGAUGAUUAAUCCGGGACCGCGUGAGGCAGUAACCUGAGCAGCGAAAACGGGUAGCUGCGGGCGGCAGACGGAUCACACGCCUGAGUGGGCUGGGCCACCCGACGGGUCCUCUGCGAGGCAACCAACUGUUUU
RNAcentral lists this signal recognition particle RNA (287 nucleotides) under Volvox carteri f. nagariensis. Its description in RNAcentral is "Plant signal recognition particle RNA". It matches the Rfam family "Plant signal recognition particle RNA". The record is from Rfam by way of RNAcentral. Lineage: Eukaryota; Viridiplantae; Chlorophyta; Chlorophyceae; Chlamydomonadales; Volvocaceae.